Thalassophryne amazonica is the source of this 201-nucleotide long non-coding RNA. RefSeq lists it as uncharacterized. The transcript is spliced from 3 exons. Lineage: Eukaryota; Metazoa; Chordata; Actinopteri; Batrachoidiformes; Batrachoididae. The record is from RefSeq and is a predicted model, not a curated record.
GCUUUGAAGGUCCCAAUGAGCACAGUGGCCUCCAUCAUCCAUAAAUGGAAAAAGUUGAGAUCCACCAGGACUCUUCCUAGAACUGGCUGUCUAUCUAAACUGAGUGAACAGAGGAGAAAGACUUUAGUCAGGGAGGUGACCAAGAACCCUAUGGUCACUCAGUCAGAGCUCCUGGAAUUCCUCUGAAUAUCCUCAUCAAUA